RNAcentral lists this ribosomal RNA (298 nucleotides) under uncultured bacterium. RNAcentral's name for it is "partial 16S ribosomal RNA". It matches the Rfam family "Bacterial small subunit ribosomal RNA", at positions 335 to 650 of the family's 1533-position model. The record is from RNAcentral.
GUUCCUACGGGACGCAGCAGUGGGGGAUAUUGCACAAUGGGGGAAACCCUGAUGCAGCGACGCCGCGUGUGGGAAGACGGUCCUCUGGAUUGUAAACUAUUGUCCCCAGGGACGAAGAUGACGGUACCUGGGGAGGAAGCUCCGGCUAACUACGUGCCAGCAGCCGCGGUAAUACGUAGGGAGCAAGCGUUGUCCGGAAUUACUGGGUGUAAAGGGAGCGUAGGCGGGAUGGCAAGUUGGGUGUUAAAUCUAUCGGCUUAACUGGUAGUCGCACUCAAACCUGCUAUACUUGAGUGAA